This 266-nucleotide ribosomal RNA is filed under the name uncultured bacterium. Its description in RNAcentral is "partial 16S ribosomal RNA". It matches the Rfam family "Bacterial small subunit ribosomal RNA", at positions 933 to 1215 of the family's 1533-position model. The record is from RNAcentral.
UGGAGCGUGUGGUUUAAUUCGAUGCGCGAAGAACCUUACCUGGGUUUGACAUAGGGGUAGUAGCAAGGUGAAAGCUGCGCGACCCUUCGGGGAGCCUCUACAGGUGCUGCAUGGCUGUCGUCAGCUCGUGUCGUGAGAUGUUGGGUUAAGUCCCGCAACGAGCGCAACCCUCGUCGUUAGUUACAAGUGUCUAACGGGACUGCCGGUUUCAAACCGGAGGAAGGUGGGGAUGACGUCAAGUCAGCAUGGCCUUUAUAUCUUGGGCA